GGAAGCUAAAAAAGAUCAACAGAAAGUAUUAGUACCCCAAGCAUAAUAAUACCAGUGAGCCUAGCAAAGCUUGAUUAUAAAAACAAUUUAGUUCUUUCAAGACUGAACCUAAAGUUCUGAGCAAACAUUUUAAUUUCUACUUAUAUCUGAUUAUGAAUGUUAUUUGAGGUGCAUGUUUCUCAUUCUGACUCUCAAGGACUGAAUGACAACUUGGUAACCAGCACAGCAGCCACAUGAAAAGAUUACGUUGUGCCUCUGGUGUAUGUUUAGGGUGUUGUGGUAUCUCAAUAUUCAGUGUCAUAAAAUGAGAAGCUUACUGUCUCCAGUGGAAUCAGGGAUCCCAGCUCAAGGAGAGGAGGAGCUUCAGAGUCACAGAACCAAACUGAUCUUGGCCCCCCAUCACUUAUUAUUCACAAGAAUAACCCUGCCACAAAGAAGCCCCCGAUUGUGUGGUCACAGCACUGCCUCUCUGUCCUGGAUGGGUACAGGAGGGCUGCCCUGCAAUCCUCUCAUUAUCAACCGUGAGAAAGAGGGAUCGACCGGAGAACAGGCACUGCCCCAAGAAAAGCCUGUUUCUAGGAUUCAGCUUACUUCUGGCUCUUCAGCAUAUUCAUUACAAUUAAGUCAGCAAUUUAAUGUAAUUAAAGAUACACGGCUACCUACAGAAGCCUAUUUUACAUAUUUAAUGAGUAGUAUGUAAAGACUCACC
Non-coding RNA from Vicugna pacos (alpaca), 709 nucleotides. The record is from RefSeq and is a predicted model, not a curated record. Lineage: Eukaryota; Metazoa; Chordata; Mammalia; Artiodactyla; Camelidae.